UAUAAUUCCGUAGACUAAUGUGUACAUAUACUAUUACUUUGAAAUUUCAGUGACCUAAGAAAUAUAUCAAACCUGAGGUUUCGUGUUUGACACAAACAUGUAGGUUGGCAAAACCUUUUUAAAAAUAAUGUAAAUCAAUCACAAGUCUGCAUAUGCCCUCUCAUAGGUAAAUGUACAGUAUGCAUUGUAUGUAUAAGUAUUAAUAUGUAUACUACACGUAUGUCCUUCUCUUGACCCACAUUUUGUAAAUAAAACAGAUAUGAUGAGUCAAUGGCAGUUUAUGAAAACAUAUAUGUCAUCUCAUAUUGCAAUGUAUAAUUUUGAAACAUCAGUAUUUAAAUUUUCACUGAAUAUGUGUUGAGACACAAUUUUAGAAUUUACAUUGUCUGAUGCAGUCUAAUUACUCAAUGGUAUAAUAUAGACCUAACUGUGCAAAUAUCAAUUAUGAUGAUCUUUUUUCUAGGCAUUAGUCUGAGGACCAAUGGAGAUUAGAUAGAACAAGUGCAGGUUGAAGUGGGUUUCGAGUCAACAAGUUUAACAGCAAGAGAGGUACCCAUUUACAGUGAUGAUGACAUAUCCCCUGGACCCACACAGCUCCACAAAUUUAAACAUGUUUGAUCAAGUUCCGAAGAUUAAAGAACUACUGCAAAAUUUGGGGACUUGGAUGAAAAACAUUAAUUGAUUUAUGAGCUCAGAGCAGUGGAUGUUGUACAACAUACUUUAAACUAAAUUGUGAAUUUAAGGGAAAACAAGUACAUGUACUUGUGUAUUACAUGUACAUGCCUUUUGAAAGACAAUAAUAUUGCAUAGAUGUAAAGGAAAUUUCACUGUUGAUUAUUCUUUCUCAGAUACAUUAGUAAAAAAUAUGCACAAUGACAUGGUAGGAUACCAAUUUUAUAAUUUCAAUCAAUUUGUUUGAAUUUUAAUUGUAAUUAUGAAUUUAGUUGAAACAUACAUCAUUGAUACAUUAAUGUACAUCAGAUUUUUAGAAAAGUUUAAUAAUGGAACUAAUUCACAACCCCCCCCCCCCCCCCCCCCCCACCCCGCCUAUACAUACAGUGAACAUGACCUUCACCUGGGGAAUAUUAGAGUUAGUUAAUGCAAUAUACAUGCAUUCUCAGUUAUCCAAUAAUGAGUUUUUGGUUCAUUGUGAAACUACAAUUAGGAAUCUUAAACUUAUGAAAGACACACCUAUAUGUGAGGGCACAGAUGGACUUAGUGAUCCAUGGGCAGUCCAUGCGAUAUGGGUUUCUUUCCAUUGCUAUUAAUUAUUUAUUGAAAUAUGAAAUGGUUAUUUAAACAUUUGGUGUAUUAUAUUGUAUAGUGAUAUCAAUUUCUAUCAAAAAAUGUGUAUAGGUAAUAUAUUGGGUCCAGUUAUUACAAGAAAUUGUAUGAAAAAUAACUAAAUAUUUAGGCAAUCAUUGUGAGUGCAAAAAGGUCAACUGCAAUAGCAAACACUAUAAAUCAUUCUUAAAUGGCUCAUAGAAAUUACUAGGAUUGUGAUGUUGAAUGCUCAAAGUGAUAAUUUGGGAAUGCUUAAUCAUUUAAGGUCAAUAGUUUAUCUCUGCUGACUGUAUCUCUUAAAAUUCAUUUCUGGAAGGGAGGGGUUAGGGUUACAAAUUCUGACAUAGUUUCAGAUUAAACCUCAUUUGGUAUAUUUUUUUCUAUUCAAUAUUUUAGAUACUACUUGACUUAUUGUAAAAAUGAAAUAAAAAGGAAAUUUUAUGAGCAGAAUUUUUUUGUUGUCAGAAAAUUUAUGCCUGAAAGUGUUUGAAAAACGCCAUAUUUAGGGUGAAUUUGGCCAAUUGCCAGGUCCAAUCAUCCCAAUGUUUCCCUUAGAUGUAUUUUGAAUUUCUAAUUAAUGUUGAUUUUUUUAUCCGUUUGUGUUUAAUUUACAUAACUUUAUAUGACAAAGAAUAUUUCUGGUGUCAAUAAAAAUUUUAUUGGC
Long non-coding RNA from Ostrea edulis (European flat oyster), 1948 nucleotides. RefSeq lists it as uncharacterized. The record is from RefSeq and is a predicted model, not a curated record. Lineage: Eukaryota; Metazoa; Mollusca; Bivalvia; Ostreida; Ostreidae. The transcript has 2 exons.